GAUGAACGCUGGCGGCGUGCCUAAUACAUGCAAGUCGAGCGAACGGACGAGAAGCUUGCUUCUCUGAUGUUAGCGGCGGACGGGUGAGUAACACGUGGAUAACCUACCUAUAAGACUGGGAUAACUUCGGGAAGCCGGAGCUAAUACCGGAUGAUAUUUUGAACCGCAUGGUUCAAAAGUGAAAGACGGUCUUGCUGUCACUUAUAGAUGGAUCCGCGCUGCAUUAGCUAGUUGGUAAGGUAAUGGCUUACCAAGGCAACGAUGCAUAGCCGACCUGAGAGGGUGAUCGGCCACACUGGAACUGAGACACGGUCCAGACUCCUACGGGAGGCAGCAGUAGGGAAUCUUCCGCAAUGGGCGAAAGCCUGACGGAGCAACGCCGCGUGAGUGAUGAAGGUCUUCGGAUCGUAAAACUCUGUUAUUAGGGAAGAACAUAUGUGUAAGUAACUGUGCACAUCUUGACGGUACCUAAUCAGAAAGCCACGGCUAACUACGUG
RNAcentral lists this ribosomal RNA (497 nucleotides) under uncultured bacterium. Its description in RNAcentral is "partial 16S ribosomal RNA". It matches the Rfam family "Bacterial small subunit ribosomal RNA", at positions 28 to 507 of the family's 1533-position model. The record is from RNAcentral.